RNAcentral lists this ribosomal RNA (440 nucleotides) under uncultured bacterium. RNAcentral's name for it is "partial 16S ribosomal RNA". It matches the Rfam family "Bacterial small subunit ribosomal RNA", at positions 338 to 795 of the family's 1533-position model. The record is from RNAcentral.
CCUACGGGUGGCAGCAGUGGGGAAUAUUGCACAAUGGGGGAAACCCUGAUGCAGCGACGCCGCGUGAGUGAAGAAGUAAUUCGUUAUGUAAAGCUCUAUCAGCAGGGAAGAAAAUGACGGUACCUGAGUAAGAAGCCCCGGCUAACUACGUGCCAGCAGCCGCGGUAAUACGUAGGGGGCAAGCGUUAUCCGGAUUUACUGGGUGUAAAGGGGGCGUAGACGGCAGUGCAAGUCUGGAGUGAAAGGCGGGGGCUCAACCCCCGGACUGCUCUGGAAACUGUACGGCUGGAGUGCAGGAGCGGUAAGUGGAAUUCCUAGUGUAGCGGUGAAAUGCGUAGAUAUUAGAAGGAACACCAGUGGCGAAGGCGGCUUACUAAACUGUAACUGACGUUGAGGCUCGAAAGCGUGGGGAGCAAACAGGAUUAGAUACCCUUGUAGUC